This 728-nucleotide ribosomal RNA is filed under the name uncultured eukaryote. Its description in RNAcentral is "SSU rRNA". It matches the Rfam family "Eukaryotic small subunit ribosomal RNA", at positions 670 to 1426 of the family's 1831-position model. The record is from RNAcentral.
CGGGUGCACUGAUCCAGCCGGGCCUUUCCCUCUGUGGAACCCCAUGGCCUUCACUGGCUGUGGUGGGGAAACAGGACUUUUACUUUGAAAAAAUUAGAGUGCUCCAGGCAGGCCUAUGCUCGAAUACAUUAGCAUGGAAUAAUAGAAUACGACGUGGUGGUUCUAUUUUGCUGGGUUCUAGGACCGCCGUAAUGAUUAUAGGGACAGUCGGGGGCAUCAGUAUUCAAUGUCAGAGGUGAAAUUCUUGGAUCUAUUGAAGACUAACUACUGCGAAAGCAUUUGCCAAGGAUGUUUUCAUUGAUAAGGAACGAAAGUUAGGGGAUCGAAGACGAUCAGAUACCGUCGUAGUCUUAACUAUAAACUAUGCCGACUAGGGAUCGGACGAUGUUAUUCUUUGACGCGUUCGGCACCUUUCGAGAAAUCAAAGUGCUUGGGCUCCAGGGGGAGUAUGGUCGCAAGGCUGAAACUUAAAGAAAUUGACGGAAGGGCACCACCAGGGGUGGAACCUGCGGCUUAAUUUGACUCAACACGGGGAAACUCACCAGGUCCAGACACAGUGAGGAUUGACAGAUUGAGAGCUCUUUCUUGAUUCUGUGGGUGGUGGUGCAUGGCCGUUCUUAGUUGGUGGAGUGAUUUGUCUGCUUAAUUGCGAUAACGAACGAGACCUUAACCUGCUAAAUAGCCCGUACUGCUUUGGCAGUUCGCCGGCUUCUUAGAGGGACUAUCGG